This 498-nucleotide ribosomal RNA is filed under the name uncultured bacterium. RNAcentral's name for it is "bacterial SSU rRNA". It matches the Rfam family "Bacterial small subunit ribosomal RNA", at positions 28 to 507 of the family's 1533-position model. The record is from RNAcentral.
AAUCAACGCUGGCGGCGUGCCUAACACAUGCAAGUCGAGCGCGAAAGUGAGCUUCGGCUCACGAGUAGAGCGGCGCACGGGUGAGUAACGCGUGGGUGAUCUACCCUCGAGUGGGGAAUAACACCGGGAAACUGGUGCUAAUACCGCAUAACAUUCUCGGUUCGCUCCGAGGAUCAAAGCUGGGGACCGUAAGGCCUGGCGCUUGAGGAGGAGCCCGCGUCCGAUUAGCUUGUUGGCGGGGUAAUGGCCCACCAAGGCUUCGAUCGGUAGCCGGCCUGAGAGGGCGGACGGCCACACUGGAACUGAGACACGGUCCAGACUCCUACGGGAGGCAGCAGUGGGGAAUUUUGCGCAAUGGGGGAAACCCUGACGCAGCAACGCCGCGUGGAGGAUGAAGGCCCUCGGGUCGUAAACUCCUGUCGAUCGGGAAGAAUGCACUCGGGUCAAUAGCCCGUUGUGUUGACUGUACCGGUGGAGGAAGCCACGGCUAACUCUGUG